UAAACGACUUAGAAAAGGAAUAGUAAGUUUAUAAGCUUUUUAGAGAGGGAAUGGUCGGUGCAAAUUCCUAAAGCAAGUAUUCUGAACCAGCCUUGGAGUCUCUGUACCGAAAUAAAAGUAGGCUACAGCGGUUUUCCCGUUAAAGAUGUUAAGAGAUUAUGUAGAGCUUUUACAUAAUAAGUAGGGUGGUAACGCCAUGAAUGGUCCCUUUU
RNAcentral lists this non-coding RNA (212 nucleotides) under Bacillus sp. (in: firmicutes). Its description in RNAcentral is "Bacillus sp. T-box sequence". It matches the Rfam family "T-box leader". Rfam says of the family: Uncharged tRNA acts as the effector for transcription antitermination of genes in the T-box leader family. T-boxes are found upstream of many aminoacyl-tRNA synthetase genes and some amino acid biosynthetic genes usually in Gram-positive bacteria. The record is from RNAcentral. Lineage: Bacteria; Bacillati; Bacillota; Bacilli; Caryophanales; Bacillaceae.